AUUGAACGCUGGCGGCAGGCCUAACACAUGCAAGUCGAGCGGAUGAAGGGAGCUUGCUCCUGGAUUCAGCGGCGGACGGGUGAGUAAUGCCUAGGAAUCUGCCUGGUAGUGGGGGAUAACGUCCGGAAACGGGCGCUAAUACCGCAUACGUUCCGAGGGAGAAAGUGGGGGAUCUUCGGACCUCACGCUAUCAGAUGAGCCUAGUUCGGAUUAGCGAGUUGGUGGGGUAAAGGCCUACCAAGGCGACGAUCCGUAACUGGUCUGAGAGGAUGAUCAGUCACACUGGAACUGAGACACGGUCCAGACUCCUACGGGAGGCAGCAGUGGGGAAUAUUGGACAAUGGGCGAAAGCCUGAUCCAGCCAUGCCGCGUGUGUGAAGAAGGUCUUCGGAUUGUAAAGCACUUUAAGUUGGGAGGAAGGGCAGUAAGUUAAUACCUUGCUGUUUUGACGUUACCAACAGAAUAAGCACCGGCUAACUUCGUG
RNAcentral lists this ribosomal RNA (484 nucleotides) under uncultured bacterium. Its description in RNAcentral is "partial 16S ribosomal RNA". It matches the Rfam family "Bacterial small subunit ribosomal RNA", at positions 30 to 507 of the family's 1533-position model. The record is from RNAcentral.